Molecule: long non-coding RNA, 783 nt
Organism: Drosophila erecta
Lineage: Eukaryota; Metazoa; Arthropoda; Insecta; Diptera; Drosophilidae
Exons: 2
Source: RefSeq, a predicted model, not a curated record
UGCAAGCGAUGCCACACUGCCAGCCGACAAAAUCCCGCGGUAACCCUGUAGAAUUAUAUUCUUUUGUGUACGUGACGAUCAUAAAGUUGUCAUUAAAAGGAGUUUUACAUAUAUCUAUGUAAAAAUGUAAAUUUUUGGCUGCAAUUUUGUUCUACAUAUAUAUAUAUAAAUUUUGUAUUUUCGUUGGAAAGCUGACGUACUCGAAGUCGACAAACGCGCCAGAUAGCAUCCAUCCAAUUUUUCCAAUUUCCAUAUUUGCGGAAAUUAAGCUCAAUCAAAAGGCAAACGCCCAAAUUGUCGAGCCCCCGUCGACGGUCAUCAAUGUUGCCAAAAGUGUCGCGAAUUCCAAUCAAGCCUCGCCAUUUGUGGAAACUGCGACUCGAAUUGAAUUUUGCAACAGUAUUCAGGCAGUUGCCUGAAUAAGUGCCCAAUAACUGCGCUUUAUUUAUAUUAAUUGAUUACUUAAUGCGGCGCCGCCCGCCUCGGAGAUUCGAAUGCCCCCCAUUAAACCAUCAGAACCUAAAAUGUGUCUAAGGUCUAGAGUCUAGACUGAUAAGGGGUUGUAAAUAAGUCAACAGGCGACGAGGAUCUGAAGACGUCAACCUGCAAAAGCCGAGGGAAAUCCCUUGAUACGUAACGUCAAUCUCUUGACCUGCCCAGUCAGCCGUAAUCACUCGGAAAUCUUCUAUAAUGUCAUUCAAGGCUAUUUCUGAUAUCUGAUUUUGUUUGGAGUGUUAUGUGAGUGUGAGUUAUAAAUUUAUAUCUGGCUAUAAUGAAUAAGGA